RNAcentral lists this transfer RNA (62 nucleotides) under Tenuibacillus multivorans. It matches the Rfam family "tRNA", at positions 9 to 63 of the family's 71-position model. Rfam says of the family: Transfer RNA (tRNA) molecules are approximately 80 nucleotides in length. Their secondary structure includes four short double-helical elements and three loops (D, anti-codon, and T loops). The record is from Rfam by way of RNAcentral. Lineage: Bacteria; Bacillati; Bacillota; Bacilli; Caryophanales; Bacillaceae.
AGCCGUAUGAACAUGGUUCGGCAACAGCCUUCUAAGCUGUGGGUCGCAGGUUCGAAUCCUGC